AAGGUUAACUGCGUCCAAGCAUUUGUCUUGCCCGGCACGGGAGUGAUCUAGACCCCUAGCCAACAAGGGUGUGUGUGUGUGUUUGUGUGUAGGGUGUUCGGCUCUGCACCCUCCUACUUUUUUCCUUGGCCCUGUAGACUCUGCGCCCUAAGUGGCUGAGCCAAGAAGGGAAGGCAACUGACUGGGGAAUGAGUGCAGUGUUGGUGUGAAAAGCCCUUCAGCAAAUGUACUUUUCCUUGGUUUAUGCGAAUGGACUGCAGAAUGUAAGCUCUUUGAGAGCAGCCAAGGAUAGGAUUGAGUGAAGAUUUGGCUUAGCACCUUGUUUAUGAUUGCCAUUUCUGAAUCCAUCUUGGCAUCAGAGGAUGGUUGCAGAUUCAGUCAUCAGAGGAUUCAAUCAACAAACAUUUAUUAAGCAAGUAGACACUUAUCAGACACUGACCGAAGCUCUGUAGCUAAAAAUUCAAUGAAUGAACCGAUUUCUACCCAAGAGGAGCUUAUAUUCACAUCAGGAGGGGAGACAAUAAGUACACAGGAAACAAAACAACCAAAGAAACCAACAAUUGGCUUUCCCACUCUCGGGCUGACAUGGAUCAGAACUUUCUGGUGUUGGACUGGUGACCCUUCCAGAUUAUUCAGCUUUUUGUGCAUGUACUGAAGCACAGCCCUGAAUCCUGAGCGUCUGUUACUUCCUCUUCUUUUUUUUAAUUCUAAAAAAUAUUUUAUUGUCAUGCAUAACACGAUUUCAUAUUGGUCAUUGUUGUAACAACAAACUCAUAUAUAACCAAAAUCUCAAAAUAAAACCAUAAAUGCACUGAUGUGUAAGAUGACU
RNAcentral lists this long non-coding RNA (829 nucleotides) under Monodelphis domestica (gray short-tailed opossum). RNAcentral describes it as "lncRNA (ENSMODG00000032095.2)". Lineage: Eukaryota; Metazoa; Chordata; Mammalia; Didelphimorphia; Didelphidae. The record is from RNAcentral.